UACGUAGGUGGCAAGCGUUGUCCGGAUUUACUGGGCGUAAAGAGCGCGCAGGCGGCUGGCCAAGUCCGAUGUGAAAGCUCCCGGCUUAACUGGGAAACUGCAUCGGAAACUGGUCGGCUUGAAGGUGGGAGAGGGUAGCGGAAUUCCCGGUGUAGUGGUGAAAUGCGUAGAUAUCGGGAGGAACACCAGUGGCGAAGGCGGCUACCUGGCCCAUUCUUGACGCUGAGGCGCGAAAGCUAGGGGAGCGAACGGG
RNAcentral lists this ribosomal RNA (253 nucleotides) under uncultured bacterium. RNAcentral describes it as "partial 16S ribosomal RNA". It matches the Rfam family "Bacterial small subunit ribosomal RNA", at positions 524 to 776 of the family's 1533-position model. The record is from RNAcentral.